ACCCUUUGCCGAUUGGUAACCCAAGGACCUCCAAAAUAAAAUCUCCCGUUCCUAAACCCCCUCCUGUUCACCCAUACAACACUGUAUGGUUGGUUGCCUAUGGUUCAGGUUCACCGGGAGAUGCUGCGUAGCUCUACAGCCGGAGAUAUCAGGUCUCCACUUUUAAUAAACUAAAACCUUGUUUUUUUCAAGAAAAUAUAAUUAAACAAAUAUAUGUACAAAAUAAAGAAAACUAAAAAUGAUUGAAUGCGACCCAAGUAGGAGGGGUCGACCGGGACAAUUGACACUCGUGGUAGUUUUGUUAACCUGUAACUGAUAUCACGUUAGCUUCCAGUAUGAACAACCGGUAGGUAGUUUCAAAGACCACUUCUAUGAUUCAACUUUACACGGGAUCAAUAUAAAUCAAAUUACAGGAAGGCUGGUUCCAGUCGAGCGCGAAUUUACAUUCGCAGCGUCUACCGAAAUUUCACCACAGGGAUAACCUAAUUCUGAGCACGGCUAUACAGCCGUAUACUUUUUCCACGGAUGGUAACAGGAAGAGCGCGGUCAUACGACCUGCACCUCUUUGUACUGGAUAGUCAGGAAGGGUUUCAGAGCGCGGUACUACAACCGGCACGUCUGAGGUAAAUUAUUCAACGGGGCGGGUGUCAGAGCGCGAUUUACAAUCGCUAACGUCUGACCAGGAAACAGGAAAGAAUUUCUUAGGAUCAGGAAAACAAUUCUAAGACGAGUCUCCUUUCUGGUCUGGUUUCUGUUUAUAUAGUCUGUGGAAGGAAGUGGGAAUGUAAUGGUGAUGGUAAUCGUACUGGUGGGAAUGUCCACAAACAUGACGUCUUUGAAACUACCGCCCUCUCCUGAUAGAAAUCUAGAUUAAUUUCCAAUUCCUACAGGAAUCAAAUUACAAAUUAAUCUUAUAACAU
Molecule: long non-coding RNA, 920 nt
Organism: Photinus pyralis (common eastern firefly)
Lineage: Eukaryota; Metazoa; Arthropoda; Insecta; Coleoptera; Lampyridae
Exons: 3
Source: RefSeq, a predicted model, not a curated record